UAGUCUAACGUGAUUAGAAAUCAGCCAAACUCUGGCUUCUCUUGAGCUAUACUCCCCCACAGGCUGAAUUAUAGCUCUCCUACCAGUCCCACGGCACUGAAUGAUGUCAUGGGAUCUGCAGCUCAGCGAGAUGAAAGGGAUAAAGCAGGACCCGCUGGCACUAGGAAAAGCUUCCAACACACAGUCCACAACACAGCUUGGGAACCAAAAAAGCUACAGAUCCAGCCACUCAGCCCAAGCAUGGCAGAACUACCAGCAUUGCCUCAUUGCAAAAAAGAGGAAGAAAACAACGUGAUCCAUGUUUAACAAAAGAAUGUGUGGACUAGGAGGCAGGAGGGUGACUACCUGCUGAAAGUGAACUUUCUUGAUAUCCAUGCAUAUAUAUAAACCCAGUCCUGCCUUUGAUGUUCAGCAACUGAUCACUGAUCAGAUUACAGGCAUUUCAUCUCCCUGCUCGUCUGCCUUUGAUCUGCAGGGUUAAUUUUAUUUUCCUGGAUUUGAAGUUUCGUCUGGGCUUGUGCUGACAUACAUUUUUGGGAAGGUAGAAGCAUUUGGCACAGAAGUGCUGCCAGGAGGAACUAAGUUGCCGAACGGAACGCUUCAACAAUAAAUACAUUUGAUAAAGAAAGAUGGCUUUAAAAGUACUACUAGAACAAGAGAAAACGUUAUUCACUCUUGUAGUAUUACUAGGUUAUUUGUUGUGUAAAGCGACUUGUGAAACAGGAGACUGUAGACAGCAAGAAUUCAGGGAUCGCUCUGGAAACUGUGUUCCCUGCAGCCAGUGUGGGCCGGGCAUGGAGUUGUCUAAGGAAUGUGGCUUCGGCUAUGGGGAGGAUGCGCAGUGUGUGACGUGCCGGCUGCACAGGUUCAAGGAGGACUGGGGUUUCCAGAAAUGCAAGCCGUGUCUGGACUGCACACUGGUGAACCGCUUUCAGAAGGCAAAUUGUUCAGUCACCAGUGAUGCCAUCUGUGGGGACUGCUUGCCAGGAUUUUACAGGAAGACAAAACUUGUUGGCUUUCAAGACAUGGAGUGUGUGCCUUGUGGAGACCCUCCCCCUCCUUACGAACCGCACUGUGCCAGCAAGGUCAACCUGGUGAAGAUCGCAUCCACGGCCUCCAGCCCACGGGACACAGCACUGGCUGCUGUCAUUUGCAGCGCUCUGGCCACCGUCCUGCUGGCUCUGCUCAUCCUCUGUGUCAUCUAUUGUAAGAGACAGUUUAUGGAGAAGAAACCCAGCUGGUCUCUGCGAUCACAGGACAUUCAAUACAACGGUUCUGAGCUGUCGUGUUUUGACAGACCUCAGCUCCACGAAUAUGCCCACAGAGCGUGCUGCCAGUGCCACCGGGACUCAGCACAGACCUGCGGGCCGGUGCACUUGCUCCCAUCCUUGUGCUGCGAUGAGGCCUGCAGCCCCGACCGGGCGACUCUCAGCUGUGGGAUGCAUUCUGCAGCCAGUCUUCAGGCGAGAAACGCAAGCCCAGCUGGGGAGAUGGUGCCGACUUUCUUCGGGUCCCUCUCACGGUCCAUCUGUGGCGAGUUUUCAGACGCCUGGCCUCUGAUGCAGAAUCCCGUGGGUGGUGACCACAUCUCUUUUUGUGAUUCUUAUCCUGAACUCACUGGAGAAGACAUUCAUUCUCUCAAUCCAAAAAAUGAAAGCUCAACGUCUUUGGAUUCAAAUCAUAGUCAAGAUUUGGUUGGUGGGACUGUUCCAAUCCAAGCUCAUUCUGAAAACUUUACAGCAGCUACUGAUUUAUCUAGAUAUAACAACACACUGGCAGAGCCAGCAUCAACUCUGGAUGCACUCACUAUGAGACACCAGCUAGGUCAAGAGAGUGGCGCUGCCAUCCACCCAGCCACUCAGACACACCUCCAGCUGUUGUUUUCUGGAUCACUCUGCUUUAACUGAUUGGUUGAUUUGGUUGGAAAUUGAUUGUUGGUUGUGACCUGAGGCCACGUCCUAAGACCCUCUCAGGCGGAAUGGUUUAAAAUCAGGUUUGGGUGGAGCGAAGGUGGCACCUGCAGAGAAAUGGGGGCUGUCUGCAUGCUGCAAAGCUAGAGGCAGCAAAGGAUUCCGGGUAACUGAGCACAUCUCUGCUUUCUCCAGGAAGCUUAAAGGGCCUGCUUCUUUCUGCAGUUGAAGGGUAUGCUGGCACCCAAAGAGUACUCCUUUGUUAAGCUUAUGGACUGAGCAGUCUGGACCUUGCAUGGCUUCUGGGAAAAAAUAAAUCUGAACCAAACUGAUGGCGUUUUAAGCCUUUCAGCCAGUUGCUUCUGAGCCAGACCAGCUGUAAGCUGAAACCUCAAUGAAUAACAAGAAAGGGCUGUAGGCCAACUUAGGAUAUUCUGCGUCUUUCCUACAUAAGAAGCUUCUCUGCCACAAAAGUGACUUCAAAGACGGAUGGGUUGAGUUGGCAGCCUAAGAGAUUGGGGACAUAUAACAAGAAACAGAAAUGCCUUCAUGCUUUUUUUCAUGGUGAAUAUGGUUGUACAAGACUGAAGACUCAGAGUAUACUUUUGCUUUCCAGAAAUAUUUUCAUAUCGCCUAUGAAAUGUCAGAUAAAUUACCUUGGCUUUCAUGUAGAAUGGGUUCAAAAGUGAGUGUUGCUAUUUGAGAAGGAUACUUUUUCAUCAUCUAAACUGAUUCGCAUUGGUGGUUAGAAUGGCCCACAAGCUGCCUGCCUAAAUCUUGGGUUUAUUAGAUGAGGUUAACUGAAUCAGAGGAAUCAGACAGAGGAAGAUAGCUUUUUCCAGAGUCCACACUUCUGACCUCAGCCUCCGUCUCACGAACACCUGCUGGUGCUGAUCUCAGGAGAGCACCUGGGCUGGGGAUUGUGGUAGAGAAAAGGUAGCCCAUUGCCCGGAGUUACCACAGUGUAGAGACUUGUAUGCCAAGGCUGGCAUAUUUAUAUGAAAAUUAGUUGAUAUAGAAACAUUUGUUGCAUCUGUCCCUCUGCCUGAGCUUAGAAGAUUCAGAAUUUCUUUUAUAGAAAAAGGGUAUUUAUAAACAUAAAUGAUCUUUUACUUGCAUUGUAUCUUGUACUAAAGGCUUUAGAAAUUACAACAUGUCAGGUUCCCCUCCUACUGAAGUAGUCUUCCAUGAGAACAUACCAUGUUAGGACUAGAAGAAAACACACAAUUUGUAGGGGUUUAGAUGAACCAGCUGUAACCGCCCUCGUGUAGUUUGACCAGGACCAGAUUAGUUAGCAUAUCAUCUCCUACUUUAGCCAUCUGAUGUGGGAGUUAAGAGGAUGGUGCUUCUUUCUAUUAAGGUGCUCCAUCCCCUACCUGCUCGGUAUUUACACACUAGCAUUGUCUCUAGAGCUAAGACAGAAAUUAACCCUGUUCAGUCACGAAAUAAGGAAUGAUUUAUUUGCCCUUAAUCUUUAUGCCCUGGAGAGGACUUAGUUGAAGAGGGUUUAUUUUUUAGACUUUUGAACAUCAGUAUGUUCGAGUGCACUAUGAACUGCCCUGCCCAAGGCACUGUCUUUUAACAUUUAAACUGAAUAUUAAAAUGCAUCCAUCUUUCCUAGGACAUUUGUAUCUUCUCACAUAUUACCCAUGUUUUUCUCUCUUUGUGAGGUAUGAGUAAAUUUUAAUGAGCCCUCUCUCCUGUGGCCUUUUCUCCACAGUUUUAGGUUCUGAUAUGUGUUUACUAGCUCACCUGUGUCUGGUACAUCUCAUGACCUCAAUUCCCUCAUCUGAAAUAGGAAAUAAGAGUGUUUCACUGCAACGGGCAAUCUGCCCUGUCAACCUAGUGCCCAGUCAUAGUUAAUUGACUUUUCCUGUUUUCCUUUUUUUUUUUAAAGGAUAAACUAGUGGUCCUUUGGUAGUCAUGAACUCUUAGGAGAAUUGCCUUUAGGAUAUGUAAAAUAGUUAGGGUUUGGCCACACAAUGGCUAUGAAAAUGCAAGUAGAGUUUCCUCGUGUGCCCUCACCGUGAUUCACAUACGCUGUUUGCAGUCUGGCCCUGUCUGAUACCGCAGAGGGAUGAUGGAAGCGGGCAGGGCUGUGUUCCUGGUGGAGCCUGUCUAUAUUUUCCAUAUGUAGAGCCCUGAUUAACUUCAAGGACAAACACUUGCUGGAGAAAGUCAGACUGAUGGGAAUGAGACUUUGGCCAAAAAUCCUAAAACAUAAUUUUCCAUCAGUAGAGAGUUGAAAAAUGAUUUCGUUUUCUACUGAAUUGGAUAAACCCUGGGUAAUUUUUAUCAAAGUGAAGAUAUUUUACUCUACCUGCUCUAGAAAUAUACAGAAAUGUUCUAUUUUACACUGUUUGUGUAACAUUUUGUAAACAUUUGAGAAAAAAAAUCGUUUGCACUUCACUUUAUUGGAAUAUCCCAUAGCGCUCAGUAAGCUCAGCUGCUGGAGUCCUGAGGUCAGGAAGGUGAUGGGUGGAACCACUGUGGCUUCUUGCGCUGCAGAAGCUCGUUGGCAAGAGUGAGACAAGGAUUUCAAGAACAACCAAGUCAAGUCAUGGAUUUUCUAAUUUUAUGUAUAUGGAAUAUAUUUUUAAAUAGAGAUUUUUCUACUCUAGAUAAAGUGUUAAUACUGCUAUUCCCUAGGUUAAGCACGACUGUCGUGCUAGUAAAAAAGAAAGGAAAGGAGAACCAUCAUUGCUUUAAAAUAGAUUAAAUCAAUUUAAAUUUCAUCAUUACUGUGCAAAUUUCACCAUCAUUUACAUACUGGAAUUUAUAACUGUAAAUUAUUAUUUUCUUAAAUAGUGUUGUAAUGCCUUUUUUAUUUGUGAAUAAAAUUGUCACCUGGUAUUCUUA
Molecule: RNA transcript, 4769 nt
Organism: Callithrix jacchus (white-tufted-ear marmoset)
Lineage: Eukaryota; Metazoa; Chordata; Mammalia; Primates; Cebidae
Gene: TNFRSF19
Gene name: TNF receptor superfamily member 19
Source: RefSeq, a predicted model, not a curated record